GAUGAACGCUGGCGGCGUGCUUAACACAUGCAAGUCGAACGAUGAAGCUCAGCUUGCUGGGUGGAUUAGUGGCGAACGGGUGAGUAACACGUGAGUAACCUGCCCUUAACUCUGGGAUAAGCCUGGGAAACUAGGUCUAAUACCGGAUAGGAGCGCCUACCGCAUGGUGGGUGUUGGAAAAAUUUAUCGGUUUUGGAUGGACUCGCGGCCUAUCAGCUUGUUGGUGAGGUAAUGGCUCACCAAGGCGACGACGGGUAGCCGGCCUGAGAGGGUGACCGGCCACACUGGGACUGAGACACGGCCCAGACUCCUACGGGAGGCAGCAGUGGGGAAUAUUGCAAAAUGGGCGAAAGCCUGAUGCAGCAACGCCGCGUGAGGGAUGACGGCCUUCGGGUUGUAAACCUCUUUCAGUAGGGAAGAAGCGAAAGUGACGGUACCUGCAGAAGAAGCACCGGCUAACUACGUG
Molecule: ribosomal RNA, 466 nt
Filed under: uncultured bacterium
Lineage: Bacteria
Description: partial 16S ribosomal RNA
Rfam family: Bacterial small subunit ribosomal RNA
Source: RNAcentral